GAUGAAGAACGCAGCGAAAUGCGAUACGUAAUGUGAAUUGCAAAUUCAGUGAAUCAUCGAGUCUUUGAACGCACAUUGCGCCCCCUGGUAUUCCGGGGGGCAUGCUUGUCCGAGCGUCAUUGCUGCCCUCAAGCACGGCUUGUGUGUUGGGCCCCGUCCUCCGAUCCCGGGGGACGGGCCCGAAAGGCAGCGGCGGCACCGCGUCCGGUCCUCGAGCGUAUGGGGCUUUGUCACCCGCUCUGUAGGCCCGGCCGGCGCUUGCCGAUCAACCCAAAUUUUUAUCCAGGUUGACCUCGGAUCAGGUAGGGAUACCCGCUGAACUUAAGCAUAUCAAUAAGCGGAGGA
This 345-nucleotide unclassified non-coding RNA is filed under the name soil metagenome. RNAcentral's name for it is "partial contains 5.8S ribosomal RNA, internal transcribed spacer 2, and large subunit ribosomal RNA". The stretch from base 1 to 119 matches the Rfam family "5.8S ribosomal RNA", at positions 35 to 154 of the family's 154-position model. The record is from RNAcentral.